AGUGAACGCUGGCGGUAGGCCUAACACAUGCAAGUCGAACGGCAGCACAGUAAGAGCUUGCUCUUACGGGUGGCGAGUGGCGGACGGGUGAGGAAUACAUCGGAAUCUACUUUUUCGUGGGGGAUAACGUAGGGAAACUUACGCUAAUACCGCAUACGACCUACGGGUGAAAGCAGGGGAUCUUCGGACCUUGCGCGAUUGAAUGAGCCGAUGUCGGAUUAGCUAGUUGGCGGGGUAAAGGCCCACCAAGGCGACGAUUCGUAGCUGGUCUGAGGGGAGGAUCAGCCACACUGGAACUGUGACACGGUCACGACUCCGACGUGAGUGCGCCGUAGCGUAUAGUGCACUAUGGGCGGAAGCUUACGCACACCAACCCUCGUGUGAGAAGAAGGCCUUCUGGUUGUAAAGCCCUUAUGUUGUGCAAGAAAAACAGCACGUUACUACCCACCUGUUCUGACGUUACCCAAAGAAUAAGCACCGGCUUACUUCGUG
This 492-nucleotide ribosomal RNA is filed under the name uncultured bacterium. Its description in RNAcentral is "partial 16S ribosomal RNA". It matches the Rfam family "Bacterial small subunit ribosomal RNA", at positions 29 to 507 of the family's 1533-position model. The record is from RNAcentral.